RNAcentral lists this ribosomal RNA (465 nucleotides) under uncultured bacterium. Its description in RNAcentral is "partial 16S ribosomal RNA". It matches the Rfam family "Bacterial small subunit ribosomal RNA", at positions 28 to 507 of the family's 1533-position model. The record is from RNAcentral.
GACGAACGCUGGCGGCGUGCUUAACACAUGCAAGUCGAACGGAAAGGCCCUGCUUGCAGGGUGCUCGAGUGGCGAACGGGUGAGUAACACGUGGGUGAUCUGCCCUGCACUUCGGGAUAAGCCUGGGAAACUGGGUCUAAUACCGGAUAGGAGCCAUUUUUAGUGUGAUGGUUGGAAAGUUUUUUCGGUGUAGGAUGAGCUCGCGGCCUAUCAGCUUGUUGGUGGGGUAAUGGCCUACCAAGGCGGCGACGGGUAGCCGGCCUGAGAGGGUGGACGGCCACAUUGGGACUGAGAUACGGCCCAGACGCCUACGGGAGGCAGCAGUGGGGAAUAUUGCACAAUGGGCGCAAGCCUGAUGCAGCGACGCCGCGUGGGGGAUGACGGCCUUCGGGUUGUAAACUCCUUUCGCUAGGGACGAAGCUUUUUGUGACGGUACCUAGAUAAGAAGCACCGGCUAACUACGUG